RNAcentral lists this ribosomal RNA (301 nucleotides) under uncultured bacterium. RNAcentral's name for it is "partial 16S ribosomal RNA". It matches the Rfam family "Bacterial small subunit ribosomal RNA", at positions 509 to 807 of the family's 1533-position model. The record is from RNAcentral.
CAGCAGCCGCGGGAAUACAGAGGAUGCAAGCGUUAUCCGGAAUGAUUGGGCGUAAAGCGUCUGUAGGUGGCUUUUUAAGUCUGAUGUGAAAGCCCACGGCUCAACCGUGGAGGGUCAUUGGAAACUGGAAAACUUGAGUGCAGAAGAGGAAAGUGGAAUUCCACGUGUAGCGGUGAAAUGCGUAGAGGCGUGGAGGAACACCAGUGGCGAAGGCGACUCUCUGGUCUGUAACUGACGCUGAGGAGCGAAAGCGUGGGGAGCGAACAGGAUUAGAUACCCGAGUAGUCCCUGUCUCUUAUAC